RNAcentral lists this ribosomal RNA (250 nucleotides) under uncultured bacterium. RNAcentral describes it as "partial 16S ribosomal RNA". It matches the Rfam family "Bacterial small subunit ribosomal RNA", at positions 107 to 353 of the family's 1533-position model. The record is from RNAcentral.
UAGAGUAAUACAUAAGUAACCUGCCUCAUACAGGGGGAGUAACAGUUAGAAAUGACUGCUAAUACCGCAUAAGCGCACAGUGCUGCAUGGCACAGUGUGAAAAACUCCGGUGGUAUGAGAUGGACCCGCGUCUGAUUAGCUAGUUGGUGGGGUAACGGCCUACCAAGGCGACGAUCAGUAGCCGGCCUGAGAGGGUGAACGGCCACAUUGGGACUGAGACACGGCCCAAACUCCUACGGGAGGCAGCAUG